Molecule: transfer RNA, 96 nt
Rfam family: tRNA
About the family: Transfer RNA (tRNA) molecules are approximately 80 nucleotides in length. Their secondary structure includes four short double-helical elements and three loops (D, anti-codon, and T loops). Further hydrogen bonds mediate the characteristic L-shaped molecular structure. tRNAs have two regions of fundamental functional importance: the anti-codon, which is responsible for specific mRNA codon recognition, and the 3' end, to which the tRNAs corresponding amino acid is attached (by aminoacyl-tRNA synthetases). tRNAs cope with the degeneracy of the genetic code in two manners: having more than one tRNA (with a specific anti-codon) for a particular amino acid; and 'wobble' base-pairing, i.e. permitting non-standard base-pairing at the 3rd anti-codon position.
Source: Rfam
GCCCCUAUAGCUCAGUGGUAGAGCGUUGCACUUGUAACCCUGAAAUAUCAAUUUCUCGACAUGCAAAGGUCCAUUGUUCAAUCCAGUGUGGGGGCA